GCGGAUGUAGCUCAGCUGGAUAGAGUACCUGGCUACGAACCAGACGGUCGGAGGUUCGAAUCCUCCCAUCCGCACCA
Molecule: transfer RNA, 77 nt
Filed under: Moritella viscosa
Lineage: Bacteria; Pseudomonadati; Pseudomonadota; Gammaproteobacteria; Alteromonadales; Moritellaceae
Description: tRNA-Arg (ACG) (tRNA-Arg-ACG-2-1)
Rfam family: tRNA
About the family: Transfer RNA (tRNA) molecules are approximately 80 nucleotides in length. Their secondary structure includes four short double-helical elements and three loops (D, anti-codon, and T loops).
Source: RNAcentral